Molecule: long non-coding RNA, 443 nt
Organism: Dalotia coriaria
Lineage: Eukaryota; Metazoa; Arthropoda; Insecta; Coleoptera; Staphylinidae
Exons: 2
Source: RefSeq, a predicted model, not a curated record
GCUGAUCGCAAGCUGCAACAGUCGAUGCGUCAUGAAAAGAAAUACACGGUUGUGUUAUGUGUUAACCUCGAUUCCCCUCCUUGCCAAAGGCGCGGAUUCGACGAGUCGUGAUUCAAGGUCGUCGUAGUCGCGUCGUAAUAAACGCGGUUACCAUGUGUUACCGGCAAUGAACGAAUUUAACUUGUUCUCGUUCACUCACUUGUUCCGCGCUCAUCCAAAUGCUAAGCACGCGACGAAUUCAAUUCUCUACAACUGUUUAAAUGGUUCAAACCAUGCACAACACUUAGCCAAAAUGGCUGAGCGACGCCAACGCCAUCAUUAUCGAAAUACAUAAAUAGAAUAAUUAUAGAUCAGAUUAACGUUAAUUCGAUGAUGUCAUCAAUGGAAUCAUUGAGAAUAACUAAUUAUUAUGAUUAUUUAUGAAUGAAGGAUAGUGUUCAGUA